RNAcentral lists this ribosomal RNA (1356 nucleotides) under Chitinophaga nivalis. RNAcentral describes it as "partial 23S ribosomal RNA". It matches the Rfam family "Bacterial large subunit ribosomal RNA", at positions 176 to 1529 of the family's 2925-position model. The record is from RNAcentral. Lineage: Bacteria; Pseudomonadati; Bacteroidota; Chitinophagia; Chitinophagales; Chitinophagaceae.
GGAGCCAACGCAGGGAACUGAAACAUCUAAGUACCUGCAGGAAAAGAAAAUAACUAAUGAUUCCCUAAGUAGUGGCGAGCGAACAGGGAAGAGCCCAAACCGGAUCGAAGCAAUUCUAUCCGGGGUUGUAGGACUACUUUUAGAAAGUCAGAUCAAGUUGAAUCAUCUGGAAAGAUGAGCCGUAGCAGGUGAUAGCCCUGUAGACAGAAAUUCUGAUGGACGUGUAGUAUCCUGAGUAGUGCGGGACCGGAGGAAUCCUGUAUGAAACUGCCAGCACCAUCUGGUAAGGCUAAAUACUCCUUAGAUACCGAUAGUGAACCAGUACCGUAAGGGAAAGGUGAAAAGUACUCCGAACAGGAGAGUGAAAUAGUUCCUGAAACCGUGCGCUUACAAGCGGUCGGAGCUCGCAAGAGUGACGGCGUGCCUUUUGCAUAAUGAGCCUACGAGUUACUCCUCACUGGCAAGGUUAAGGUCUUCAGUACCGGAGCCGCAGCGAAAGCAAGUUCUAACAGAGCGAAUUAGUCAGUGGGGGUAGACGCGAAACUUUGUGAUCUAUCCAUGGGCAGGAUGAAGGUUAGGUAAAACUAACUGGAGGUCCGAACUCAUUAGCGUUGAAAAGCUAUGGGAUGACCUGUGGAUAGGGGUGAAAGGCCAAUCAAACUGAGAGAUAGCUCGUUCUCCCCGAAAUGUUUUUAGGAACAGCCUUGGAUAUAGACGUGUUAUAGAGGUAGAGCUACUAAUUGGGCUAGGGGGCUUCACCGCCUACCAAACCCUAAUAAACUCCGAAUGCUAUAACAUAAUCUCCAGGAGUGAGGCUGUGGGCGCUAAGGUCCAUGGCCGAGAGGGAAAUAACCCAGACUAACAGCUAAGGUCCCUAAUGAUAUGUUAAGUUGAUCAAACGCGGUUCAAAUCCUAAAACAGCCAGGAUGUUGGCUUGGAAGCAGCCAUUCAUUUAAAGAGUGCGUAACAGCUCACUGGUCGAGGGUUUGGGCACGGAAAAUAAUCGGGCAUCAAACAUAUAACCGAAGCUUUAGGCCUAGUAUUUAGGUACUAGACGGUAGGGGAGCAUUCUAAACUGCAUCGAAGGUGUGUCGCGAGACAUGCUGGAGCGUUUAGAAAAGAAAAUGUAGGCAUAAGUAACGAUAAAUAAGAUGAAAAAUCUUAUCGCCGUAAGACUAAGGGUUCCUGAUCAACGCUAAUCGGAUCAGGGUUAGUCGGGUCCUUAGGCAAAGCCGAGAGGCGUAGCUGAUGGCAAGUUGGUGAAUAUUCCAACACCUGCUGUAAAUUCGAUGGAGUAACGGAGUAGUGAAAGGACUGCGCACUUACGGAAUAGUGCGUUAAAGGGGGUAGUUAUAU